GGGUACGGUUGGAACGACCGCUAAUACCGCAUAUGCCGAGAGGUGAAAGGAUUUAUUGCCUGAGGAUGAGCUCGCGUCGGAUUAGCUAGUUGGUGGGGUAAGAGCCUACCAAGGCGACGAUCCGUAGCUGGUCUGAGAGGAUGACCAGCCACACUGGGACUGAGACACGGCCCAGACUCCUACGGGAGGCAGCAGUGGGGAAUUUUCCGCAAUGGGCGCAAGCCUGACGGAGCAAGACCGCGUGAGGGAAGACGGUCUGUGGAUUGUAAACCUCUUUUGAUAGGGAAGAAGGACUGACGGUACCUAUCGAAUCAGCCUCGGCUAACUCCGUGCCAGCAGCCGCGGUAAUACGGAGGAGGCAAGCGUUAUCCGGAAUUAUUGGGCGUAAAGCGUCCGUAGGUGGUUGGUCAAGUCAGCUGUUAAAGCGCGGAGCUUAACUCCGUAAGGGCAGUUGAAACUGGUCAGCUAGAGUGCGAUAGGGGCAAGGGGAAUUCCCAGUGUAGCGGUGAAAUGCGUAGAUAUUGGGAAGAACACCGGUGGCGAAAGCGCCUUGCUGGGUCUGCACUGACACUGAGGGACGAAAGCUAGGGGAGCGAAAGGGAUUA
RNAcentral lists this ribosomal RNA (605 nucleotides) under Leptolyngbya dangeardii NK1-27. RNAcentral's name for it is "bacterial SSU rRNA". It matches the Rfam family "Bacterial small subunit ribosomal RNA", at positions 141 to 780 of the family's 1533-position model. Lineage: Bacteria; Bacillati; Cyanobacteriota; Cyanophyceae; Leptolyngbyales; Leptolyngbyaceae. The record is from RNAcentral.